Molecule: long non-coding RNA, 951 nt
Organism: Leucoraja erinaceus (little skate)
Lineage: Eukaryota; Metazoa; Chordata; Chondrichthyes; Rajiformes; Rajidae
Exons: 3
Source: RefSeq, a predicted model, not a curated record
ACUCUAUAAGAUUUUGGUCCGUCAAUUAUGCCCCACAUUAAUUUUAAUUCCUACCUGUAAUUAUUGUCUUGGGGACAUAUUAUGUGUGGCGCAGGAAGUCUCCCGGGGGACACGUGGAGAUGGCACUCAGCGGGUCAGACAGCAUCUCUGGACAGAAGGAAUAGGUGACAUUUCAGGUCGAGACCCUCACUCUGAAGAAGGAUCCCGGGUCUCUCUUUGUUCUUGGUGGCUCCUGAAAGGAAUUGGAGAAUAGAAGCCAAUACACGUUCAUCUUUAUUUUCCUGAGAGGGAAGACGUCGUCAAAAUCUCUAUGCAGAAUAGCAAAACGGUGAAACAAUCAUCUGUCAAUUCCCUGUAGGUUUGGACAUCUUGUCACACUUGCAAGAUUAUGUGAAAUGAGCUUCACGUGUACAUCGCUGAGACGGAAAGCUUCAUUGGAAAAUACUGUUGCAGAGACUGGAAGCUUCAUUGGAAAUGCUGGAGAAACUCAGCGGGACAGGCAGCAUCUCUGGAGAGAAGGAAUGGGUGACGUUUUGGGUCAAGACCCUUCUUCAGACUGAUCUUUUCUUUGCUCAGUCAGCUGUCGAUCAAAGAGCAAAUGAUACCACACAUGGUGCGUUCAAUCACCAAGCUGAUGACCAAAGUUUGUGAGGCAUAGAAACAAGGAACUGCAGAUGCUGGUCUACAACAAAAAAAGACACAAAAUGCUUGAGUAACCAGCAGGUCAUGCUGCCUGAUAUGCUGAGUUCCUCCAGCAUUUUGUGUUUUUGUUUUAAAGUUUCUGAAAUGCCUGGUUAUAAUUAAUUAACGUGUGGUGGAAACAAAUAAUCAUCUGUUAUUAAAUGGAUUUCCAAAUCAGUGCUUCUUAAAUUGACAAAACAUUGUUAGCUUGUAAUAACUUGACAGCUGAGAGGCCUUUUCACAAUUAAAAGAUGUUUAAAGGCUUUCACU